GUCAGUUGUAGCUCAGUGGAUAAGACAUCGGACUUGUGAUUGGAAGGUUGUGAGUUCAAAUUCCAGCACUGCCA
Molecule: non-coding RNA, 74 nt
Organism: Ameiurus melas (black bullhead)
Lineage: Eukaryota; Metazoa; Chordata; Actinopteri; Siluriformes; Ictaluridae
Source: the annotation of a GenBank genome assembly